RNAcentral lists this ribosomal RNA (465 nucleotides) under uncultured bacterium. Its description in RNAcentral is "partial 16S ribosomal RNA". It matches the Rfam family "Bacterial small subunit ribosomal RNA", at positions 338 to 795 of the family's 1533-position model. The record is from RNAcentral.
CCUACGGGUGGCAGCAGUAGGGAAUCUUCCACAAUGGGCGAAAGCCUGAUGGAGCAACGCCGCGUGGGUGAAGAAGGUCUUCGGAUCGUAAAACCCUGUUGUUAGAGAAGAAAGUGCGUGAGAGUAACUGUUCACGUUUCGACGGUAUCUAACCAGAAAGCCACGGCUAACUACGUGCCAGCAGCCGCGGUAAUACGUAGGUGGCAAGCGUUAUCCGGAUGUAUUGGGCGUAAAGGGAACGCAGGCGGUCUUGUAAGUCUGAUGUGAAAGCUUUGGGCUUAACCGGAGUAGUGCAUUGGAAACUGGGAGGCUUGAGUGCAGGAGAGGCAAGUGGAACUCCAUGUGUAGCGGUGAAAUGCGUAGAUAUAAGGAAGAACACCAGUGGCGAAGGCGGCUCUCUGGUCUGUGACUGACGCUGAGGUUCGAAAGCGUGGGUAGCAAACAGGAUUAGAUACCCGAGUAGUC